Molecule: long non-coding RNA, 3173 nt
Organism: Chinchilla lanigera (long-tailed chinchilla)
Lineage: Eukaryota; Metazoa; Chordata; Mammalia; Rodentia; Chinchillidae
Exons: 3
Source: RefSeq, a predicted model, not a curated record
UGGAGGACAGCGCAGAAGUGGCUUCUUUCUGUGCAAGCAAUGGGGCUGCAGCCUUCCUCCGACACCUCAGAUGUUAACGGGGCAGCGUAUGUGUGUGGAUGAGAAAGGCCGGGAAGGGGCUUGGCUGUUCUCUGCUUCUCCUGUGCCUCGGAAUUAUCUCCACCACGGAAAUCUGCAGUGGAGCUCGGGACUGGCUAAGCUCUGAUUCAUGAGUCUGGUUGGACAAGUGAUCCUCUGAGUUAUUCUCCAAAUGCUACUGGUACUUUAUCAAAGAUGGGAGAAAGAAACACGAGGGAGAUGUGCCUGCAGGCUUCAGGUGACCUCAGAGAGGAGGAAAAUAAAGUGAAAGGCAUUCCCAGGACAGCUCUUGGAGGAGAUUCCAGCACGAGGUGGUAGCCAGUCCAGACUGGACAGGGAUUCAGAAACAAACAACAAAGUGCUGAGACCCGUGGAAGGAAGACACCCUCAAGGAAGCGAUGCUGAGAAACAUACAAGGGAGAACCUGGGACACAGCAAGUCACACGGCCAAGGGUGCAGAAAUCAAAACUCUCAGCAUUGAGAGGAAACUUAAAGGCAAGCCGCUGAUAUGAUCAACUCAUGCUUCUCUUCAAGACCGUGAGGAACUGUUUCUGGACUGCCAAGUUUGGACGCUGCACGUGCAGAUGGCUAUGAUGCUUUCUGAAACGGGCUACAGACACCCAGCAACAGCAGUGCUGAAUCCCUGGGACCAUUCAGAAAGGAUGAGGCUCCUCAUGGGCAAGACGGACCAGCGGGACAGAAGGCAGGACACGGUGGCUUUCUUGACCAUCGCUAGAAGGCAGACCUUGACGUCAUCCAGGACUAAACCUACCUGCAUGACCCCGUCUUUUACUGUGCGUGACAUUUUACUAUGACUUAGGAAAAGAUGACUCUGACACAGAAGAGAGUACCACAAAAUCCUGCCAGAGUAAAGGAGGUCAGGAUAGGGUAAGAAGCCAAGAUGCACAAAAGCACAAUUUACAGGGAUAGAUGGUAAAGUUCUGAGAGUGAACAGCACAAGAAAAAUCAGGUGAGGGGAGAGCUGACGUGUCAGUUAAAACUCUAGGCAAAAGCACCUGUUUAGUUCAAUCCAAGGCAACUCUGAUGUGGGUACCUCUUGAAGAGGAUGCAGCAGAUGAGGCUGGACUGUCCUCUUCUGGACUCACGACACCACACUCGGUUUUAAAGAGAUGUGAGCUGAAGAGUGCACAGGGAGGACGAGAAGGCCCCAAAACCAGCAGCAGCUGCCCGCAAGUAUUUAAGGGAGAAUUACACAAAGUCCCCAAGAGCAGAACCCGAGCCGAGAGCAGCAGUAAGAAAGGGAGCUUCAUUUGGACGCGAGGCUGCUGGGGAGGAGGUGGCCUCCCCAGCCUCUGAUGUGUGCAAGAGCAGAAGAUGUCCAGGAGCUGCUGAGGGAGUGGCCCAGGCACUGACGGACUGCAGUACCAGGCGACCAGUGGGGACAUGUCCAACCUUGUGAACCUGGGAAACUGCAAAGGCCAGAGCCCUGGAGCCGAUCACCCAAUGCCACGGCACUAAGUCAAAGAAAAAAGAACUCCUUGUAAACCCAGGUGAUUGCCAAGCUACGUGAGCUAAAUGCUUUACUUUUAGAGAACACUGUUUCAGAGAGGCAAGCCUAAUAGCCUUGGUUAGACCCUCACUGGGCAGCACCCAGGAGGCCUGUGGGGUCUGCUCUCCAUCAAGUCCUCUGCUACUGGCCAUGCUGCCUGGGCUGUCAGCUGGGGAUGCGCUGUGCCGGGGGCAGGGCCGAGCUCUAAGAGCCCCAAGCCCGUCAGCCGGAGUCCUCUGACAAUACGACUGACUUCUACUCCUCUGAGUGGCACAAUCAAAAAACCAAAUAUGAGACCACUUUACCUUUGGUCAUGUGAGCUCCUUGGGUCUUGGCUUUAAAGUCAGAUUCUCUGAGCAACCAAACCUUGGCACCAGUGGCUACUAUGUGUAACUUUGAAGGAAUUACAAACAGGUUGAUUUUAAGUCUAUGCGAAUGCAAAAUACUGCCUUCUUUGUGGCACUGGGACUUGAACUCACACUGAGCUAAACUCCAGUCCUUUUCAUUUUGAGACAGGGUCUUGCUAAGUUGCCCUACAACGUAUGACCCUCCUGCUUAGCCUCCUGAGGAGCAGGGACGCAGACAUCUGGCACCAUGCCCAGCUUAUGACACUGUUACUACUAUGCCCAGCUUAUGACACUGUUACUACUAUGGUCAGAGGUGUUAGUAGCGAUACUUCUUGAAAUGAAUAUUCCUGAACUUUUUCAUCCAUUUUGGGUAAUACAAUUAUAGAUGAUUAUAUUAAAAUUAACUAUGAAUCACACUAAAAAUACCGAACAUUCUUGCUUUGCAAGAAGUUACUAAGAAUCAGGAUGCGACUACAUAGCCAUGUAUCACUUCUCAAAACCUGGAAAAGCACUGUAGCUGGUGAGUGUAGUGACGGGGCUGGUGGUCAGUGAAGCUGAGAGUGUAAUGGGCCAAUCCUGCCAGAUUAAACCGAGUUACACAGGUCUCCUUCCUUCAGGACUCUGCCAGGCUCAAUGACUCAGUGUACACUGUGAGCGAGGAAGAGAAUCCUGGCUUUCCCAGGCUCGUCUGACCAUCUACUCUUCUCCCACACAGGCUUCUGGCUCCACUAGGGUCUGAGAGAACAGACUUCGGGAAACAUCUGGAAUUACGACUUACAGGAGUAUAAAAAUGGCCAAAUUUGGACAAUUUCCUACGAUCAAUGCAAGUGACGACAGUGACGUGACUGUGUGUGCCUGACUCCCCUGCUCCCUGAGGUCAGGCACCCUGAGCGAGGGGCCUGUGUUUUCUGUAUCUCUAUACUCACAGAGCUCAGCACAAUGUCUGAGACGGGAUGCUCAAAAAAGAUCUGUGAAAGAACUGAUGCGUUCCACCAAACAAUUGCAACCGUUAAAGACUCUGAAAUGACUCUCAAGUAACUGAAGACCGAGAACGGGUUCUCCCAGAAGAUGCAGACUGGCGGAGGGCUGAGAGCACGCCGCCCUCUGCUGAAGGUAACAAGAAAGCAAAGAGCUUGCCACGGGGGUGAGAGCUGUGCAGUUGGAAGGGAAUCCCACAAAACCUGGAGGUGUUUCCAGCAGAGAAGGUGGUGAAGCGCUGGGGCAGCUCUGCGUCACCC